Molecule: long non-coding RNA, 429 nt
Organism: Rhagoletis zephyria (snowberry fruit fly)
Lineage: Eukaryota; Metazoa; Arthropoda; Insecta; Diptera; Tephritidae
Source: RefSeq, a predicted model, not a curated record
AGAAUGGUGGUUGAGUAAAAACUGCGCUCAGUUGAGUUUCGCAGCCGGAUCUAGUAGUACACAGUUAACGGUAUAAUGUUAAAGUGUUAGGUGAUGAUGAAAAAUUAGUACACGCGAAUUGUAAUAAAAUUUGAAGCGGUUUCAACCAGUUCCGCACUUACCGCGUGUGUUUAAUUUUUCCUUUAACUUUGUUACUGGCGUACUUCAAGACAGCAAUACCACCGGCGCUGCAAAAGAAUACAAGCCAUUUGUGAAUUGAGGAGCAGAGGUGCUGAGGUUAUUUGUUAGGUAGCGAAGCAAAGCAUCAGCACUAGAAGAAAACUGUUGUUUUACCUGUUUUUGUAUCUAUUGCUUUGAAUCUGUGCGAUUCACAAGCAGUUAUGUAUAUUUCCGGAUCUGAUUUUUGGGUUGUGCCUCUUUUGAAUACGG